Molecule: transfer RNA, 84 nt
Filed under: bacterium
Lineage: Bacteria
Description: tRNA-Leu
Rfam family: tRNA
About the family: Transfer RNA (tRNA) molecules are approximately 80 nucleotides in length. Their secondary structure includes four short double-helical elements and three loops (D, anti-codon, and T loops).
Source: RNAcentral
GGGCGAGUGGUGAAACUGGCAGACACGUACGCUUCAGGUGCGUAUGACCGCAAGGUCGUGGAGGUUCAACUCCUCUCUCGCCCA